Molecule: long non-coding RNA, 404 nt
Filed under: Oncorhynchus mykiss (rainbow trout)
Lineage: Eukaryota; Metazoa; Chordata; Actinopteri; Salmoniformes; Salmonidae
Description: lncRNA (ENSOMYG00000058855.1)
Source: RNAcentral
UGAAUUGAACCAGAAGCUGCUGUUUUUUUUCCUUCUUCCCAGUUGUCUGGUUUCUAUCAAUAGUGAAGGAGGCAGUUGAGGGGAAUCUCUUAAGGGACUUCAGUACCAAGUAACCUCCUCCAUUUUGAUAUUCUCUUCCAGUCUGCCUAAUUGAUUUGAUUCUAAGAAGAGGGGCUGUGUGUUUAUACCCAGGUCUUUUAUUGAUUUGAUUCUAAGACGGGGCUGUGUGUUUAUACCCAGGUCUUUUAUUGAUUUGAUUCUAAGGGCUGUGUGUUUAUACCCAGGUCUUCUAUUGAUUUGAUUCUAAGACGGGGCUGUGUGUUUAUACCCAGGUCUUUAAUUGAUUUGAUUCUAAGGGCUGUGUGUUUAUACCCAGGUCUUUUAUUGAUUUGAUUCUAAGGGUU